UUCAAGAUGUGGGCAAUUACAAAGGUUACUUUAUACCAUGGCAUUUGUGGAAUAUUCAAGUACACUGGAAGAACAUCCUUGAAUGCUUUACCAAUGGGAGAAGAGUUAAAGAGACUUUGA
Molecule: long non-coding RNA, 120 nt
Filed under: Coturnix japonica (Japanese quail)
Lineage: Eukaryota; Metazoa; Chordata; Aves; Galliformes; Phasianidae
Description: lncRNA (ENSCJPG00005019663.1)
Source: RNAcentral